AAAGACCUAUAGGACUUUCUCCUACAUCAU
Molecule: transfer RNA, 30 nt
Filed under: Phrynocephalus theobaldi (Theobald's toad-headed agama)
Lineage: Eukaryota; Metazoa; Chordata; Lepidosauria; Squamata; Agamidae
Also listed under: 5 other names
Description: partial tRNA-Ala
Source: RNAcentral